Bombyx mori (domestic silkworm) is the source of this 399-nucleotide long non-coding RNA. RefSeq lists it as uncharacterized. The record is from RefSeq and is a predicted model, not a curated record. The transcript has 2 exons. Lineage: Eukaryota; Metazoa; Arthropoda; Insecta; Lepidoptera; Bombycidae.
UUCCAUCACUAGUACCAGUAAUAACAUCAGUUUGAUAGAAUCAACAAGGGGAAGAUCCUCUGAGCGGUUGAAAAUGUCGUUAACAAGAUUCAGGAAUCUUUCAUAUAUCGAGUGCUCUAUGAUAGGUACCGCCAUACGAUGCAAGCCCUAAAUUCAAUGGCCACGGCUAUUAUGAGUUUCGUUUCCAAGUACGGUACAGUUUUUGUGGUCACGGAAGUCAGAAAAAGCGUUAUUGAAAUUGAAACUUUUUAAAUUCGGAAAGCUUUUACUCAUUGGUUUAACUUGAAUUCCUUUACAAUUUCUUCUGUCUUUUUCUUUGGUAGGAAUGUCAUUUGACAAAAUAUGUAUAACGAUUUUUAAUAAAUUUAUUUCUUUAGUGAAAUUGUAUGGAAAUGAAAA